This 510-nucleotide ribosomal RNA is filed under the name uncultured bacterium. Its description in RNAcentral is "partial 16S ribosomal RNA". It matches the Rfam family "Bacterial small subunit ribosomal RNA", at positions 28 to 507 of the family's 1533-position model. The record is from RNAcentral.
GACGAACGCUGGCGGCGUGCUUAACACAUGCAAGUCGAACGAAGAGCGAUGGAAGCUUGCUUCUAUCACUCUUAGUGGCGAACGGGUGAGUAACGCGUAAUCAACCUGCCCUUCAGAGGGGGACAACAGUUGGAAACGACUGCUAAUACCGCAUACGAUCUAAUCUCGGCAUCGAGGAUAGAUGAAAGGUGGCCUCUACAUGUAAGCUAUCACCGAAGGAGGGGAUUGCGUCUGAUUAGCUAGUUGGAGGGGUAACGGCCCACCAAGGCGAUGAUCAGUAGCCGGUCUGAGAGGAUGAACGGCCACAUUGGGACUGAGACACGGCCCAGACUCCUACGGGAGGCAGCAGUGGGGAAUCUUCCGCAAUGGACGAAAGUCUGACGGAGCAACGCCGCGUGAGUGAUGACGGCCUUCGGGUUGUAAAGCUCUGUUAAUCGGGACGAAAGGCCUUCUUGCGAAUAGUGAGAAGGAUUGACGGUACCGGAAUAGAAAGCCACGGCUAACUACGUG